GAUACCAUUCUUCCCCCUCUAUCUACUGCUAACACUCACGCACGCUGGAGCUGGGAGCUCCUCUCGACCGUGACCGAGCGCGUCCGUCGGGCGAGAGCGAGACCCCAUGUGCCAGCAGCGCGGGCCGCGGCGGCAGAGGCAGGCGGCAGGCCACCACCGUGGGGUGGGUGUGGGUCGCCGGUCGCAAAGUGCCGCAGCUUUUGCCAAAAAGCCCUCUGCCGACCUUGUCCCGUGUCGGGUUCGAACAGAGGAGAUGGUGGAUGCUGUGAACUUGUGAUAAGCUGCCAAGUCCGCUGUUUUUUACAGUCAUGAAGGGCUAUUUUAUCCAAAUCAAAUGCUCCAAAUGGGACGAUGUUUGUGCCUGCCCCGUACACCUGCAACUGCAAUGGCACUGUCGUAGUAUUCCUGAAUGAAUACACUGUAUCACACACUGUAUAUAUCGACAGGCUGUUUAAAGCGUAGCAGAAAAUGUACUUGCUGCCCUUGAUGUCAGGUCCUUACGUCCCGUUUCUCCUAAAGCUUGUCUGUAAUCUGUUUUUGUUGUUUUGUCCAUGCUUGUUUGGACUUUGGACAACUGUAGCUUGACCCAACCAAAUUUUUAUGAACGUUUGUACAUCCUAAUUCACAGUACUGCAGCUAAAAGGUGAAGUAACUUAUACGAAAUUCAACAC
Long non-coding RNA from Sorghum bicolor (sorghum), 671 nucleotides. RefSeq lists it as uncharacterized. The record is from RefSeq and is a predicted model, not a curated record. NCBI's taxonomy places the organism in Eukaryota, Viridiplantae, Streptophyta, Magnoliopsida, Poales, Poaceae. The transcript has 2 exons.